AUGACUAUCAAUAAGAGCCAGGGAUAGACUCUCUCAGUUGUUGGAUUAUACCUGAAAAGCCCUGUUUUCACUCAUGGCCAGCUUUACGUGGCGGUUUCACAUGUGACUUCCAAGAAAAACUUGAAAAAGAUGGCACACUUGGAUCUCAGGCUAGAAACAUAG
This 162-nucleotide ribosomal RNA is filed under the name Triticum aestivum (bread wheat). RNAcentral describes it as "partial small subunit ribosomal RNA". Lineage: Eukaryota; Viridiplantae; Streptophyta; Magnoliopsida; Poales; Poaceae. The record is from RNAcentral.